GUCGAACGGACAGAUUGGAGUUUGCUCCAUGAAGUUAGUGGCGGACGGGUGAGUAACGCGUGGGUAACCUGCCCUAUGCAGGGGGAUAACGUUUGGAAACGAACGCUAAUACCGCAUAACCUAGUUGGUUCGCAUGAACUAAUUAGCAAAGAUUUAUCGGCAUAGGAUGGACCCGCGUUGGAUUAGCUAGUUGGUGAGAUAACAGCUCACCAAGGCGACGAUCCAUAGCCGGCCUGAGAGGGUGAACGGCCACACUGGGACUGAGACACGGCCCAGACUCCUACGGGAGGCAGCAGUGGGGAAUAUUGCACAAUGGGCGCAAGCCUGAUGCAGCGACGCCGCGUAAAGGAUGAAGGUUUUCGGAUCGUAAACUUCUAUCAGCAGGGAAGAAACCAAUGACGGUACCUGACUAAGAAGCCCCGGCUAACUACGUGCCAGCAGCCGCGGUAAUACGUAGGGGCAAGCGUUAUCCGGAUUCACUGGGUGUAAAGGGUGCGUAGGUGGUAUGGUAAGUCAGAUGUGAAAACUUGGGGCUCAACUUCAAGAUUGCAUCUGAAACUACUAAACUAGAGUGCAGGAGAGGAAAGCGGAAUUCCGAGUGUAGCGGUGAAAUGCGUAGAGAUUCGGAGGAACACCAGUAGCGAAGGCGGCUUUCUGGACUGUAACUGACACUGAGGCA
This 679-nucleotide ribosomal RNA is filed under the name uncultured bacterium. Its description in RNAcentral is "bacterial SSU rRNA". It matches the Rfam family "Bacterial small subunit ribosomal RNA", at positions 61 to 753 of the family's 1533-position model. The record is from RNAcentral.